CAAGUAACUUCUUCAUAUGAACUUCAAAACUGAGCCCUUAGAUUAACUCCACAAUUUCUACAUCACUUAGAAUUCUUAUUACCCUCAUCUCGGCCAGACUAACUUAAAACCUUGUUCUUGAAGAAUUACCCUCUUGAGCCACUUAUACUACAACCACCCUUGAUCAUCUGUUCUAAAACCUUUCUUCUUCUUUCCUCAUUCACUGUGCUCUUAAUUCUCUAACCUUAUACUUUCCGGUCAAACUGACAUUCUGAUGUAGUCCUUCCUUUGACACUUGAAAUCGCUCAUCUCAGUCAAUGGUCAAACCUUUAUUCUAAAUUAUCCACAAUUCUUGAAACGCCAAUCUAAACUUGGGUAUGGCAAAUCCACUUGUUGAUAAUUG
Molecule: long non-coding RNA, 382 nt
Filed under: Vigna radiata
Lineage: Eukaryota; Viridiplantae; Streptophyta; Magnoliopsida; Fabales; Fabaceae
Description: long non-coding RNA (VRAD_LNC001024)
Source: RNAcentral